This 131-nucleotide ribosomal RNA is filed under the name Sinocyclocheilus grahami. Lineage: Eukaryota; Metazoa; Chordata; Actinopteri; Cypriniformes; Cyprinidae. The record is from RNAcentral.
UACUGCACAAAGUUCCUUGAUUAUUACGCCGGAAUGGGAGUAUAGUUCCUAGCCUAUACUUGCUAAGCAGGGCUGAGCCUGGUCAGUACCUGGAUGGGAGACCUCCUGGGAAAACUAGGUUGCUGCUGGAA